UCGUCUGCGAAGCCAUGGCAGCCCUCGGC
This 29-nucleotide non-coding RNA is filed under the name Rattus norvegicus (Norway rat). The record is from RNAcentral. Lineage: Eukaryota; Metazoa; Chordata; Mammalia; Rodentia; Muridae.